CCUACGGGAGGCAGCAGUGGGGAAUAUUGCACAAUGGGGGAAACCCUGAUGCAGCGACGCCGCGUGAGUGAAGAAGUAAUUCGUUAUGUAAAGCUCUAUCAGCAGGGAAGAAAAUGACGGUACCUGAGUAAGAAGCCCCGGCUAACUACGUGCCAGCAGCCGCGGUAAUACGUCGGGGGCAAGCGUUAUCCGGAUUUACUGGGUGUAAAGGGAGCGUAGACGGCAGUGCAAGUCUGGAGUGAUAGGCUGGGGCUCAACCCCCGGACUGCUCUGGAAACUGUACGGCUGGAGUGCAGGAGAGGUAAGUGGAAUUCCUAGUGUAGCGGUGAAAUGCGUAGAUAUUAGGAGGAACACCAGUGGCGAAGGCGGCUUACUGGACUGUAACUGACGUUGAGGCUCGAAAGCGUGGGGAGCAAACAGGAUUAGAUACCCGUGUAGUC
Molecule: ribosomal RNA, 440 nt
Filed under: uncultured bacterium
Lineage: Bacteria
Description: partial 16S ribosomal RNA
Rfam family: Bacterial small subunit ribosomal RNA
Source: RNAcentral